ACUGGUUGGGAUACAUAUGGCGGU
RNAcentral lists this non-coding RNA (24 nucleotides) under Arabidopsis thaliana (thale cress). The record is from RNAcentral. Lineage: Eukaryota; Viridiplantae; Streptophyta; Magnoliopsida; Brassicales; Brassicaceae.